This 465-nucleotide ribosomal RNA is filed under the name uncultured bacterium. RNAcentral's name for it is "partial 16S ribosomal RNA". It matches the Rfam family "Bacterial small subunit ribosomal RNA", at positions 28 to 507 of the family's 1533-position model. The record is from RNAcentral.
GACGAACGCUGGCGGCGUGCUUAACACAUGCAAGUCGUACGGUAAGGCCCUUUCUGGGGUACACGAGUGGCGCACGGGGGCGUAACACGUGAGUAACCUGCCCACUACUUUUGGAUAACGCUAGGAAACUGGUGCUAAUACUGGGUAUAUGCUCCUGCUUCAGUGUGGGGGUUGGAAAGCUCCGGCGGUUGUGGAUGGGCUCGCGGCCUAUCAGCUUGUUGGUGGGGUAGUGGCCUACCAAGGCGGCGACGGGUAGCCGGCCUGAGAGGGUGACCGGCCACAUUGGGACUGAGAUACGGCCCAGACUCCUACGGGAGGCAGCAGUGGGGAAUAUUGCACAAUGGGCGCAAGCCUGAUGCAGCAACGCCGCGUGCGGGAUGACGGCCUUCGGGUUGUAAACCGCUUUCAGCAGGGACGAAGCUUUUUGUGACGGUACCUGGAGAAGAAGCACCGGCUAACUACGUG